UAUUGCACAAUGGGGGAAACCCUGAUGCAGCGACGCCGCGUGAAGGAAGAAGUAUUUCGGUAUGUAAAGCUCUAUCAGCAGGGAAGAAAGAAAUGACGGUACCUGACUAAGAAGCCCCGGCUAACUACGUGCCAGCAGCCGCGGUAAUACGUAGGGGGCAAGCGUUAUCCGGAUUUACUGGGUGUAAAGGGAGCGUAGACGGCGAUGCAAGUCUGAAGUGAAAGGCGGGGGCCCAACCCCCGGACUGCUUUGGAAACUGUCCAGCUGGAGUGCAGGAGAGGUAAGCGGAAUUCCUAGUGUAGCGGUGAAAUGCAUAGAUAUUAGGAGGAACACCAGUGGCGAAGGCGGCUUACUGGACUGUAACUGACACUGAGGCUCGAAAGCGUGGGGAGCAAACAG
RNAcentral lists this ribosomal RNA (399 nucleotides) under uncultured bacterium. RNAcentral's name for it is "bacterial SSU rRNA". It matches the Rfam family "Bacterial small subunit ribosomal RNA", at positions 362 to 775 of the family's 1533-position model. The record is from RNAcentral.